CUGAGAGAUGCUAGAAGGUUAAAUAGUCGGAGUAACAGACUGUGAAGUUCUCAGGCUACUACAGACAAGAGGAAUCUGCUGAUUUCAGGAGGUUGCAGCUGUGUUUUCGCUUGUGUGUGAUGGAAGAAUCUGCCAUUGUAGGGAUGUGGGAAACUAAAAUUCACCACGGACAGUUUAUGGUCUUAUCCCUCUUUGUGCAUGUAGGAUCAAGGCAUUAAUAAGGAUCUCAGAAGGAAUGUCAAGAGAUCACAGACUCAUGUCCUGUUUGUUACUGGUUGGCUUUAUUGAUUUUUUAUUUUUUAUUUUUUAAGAUUUCACCUGUUUGUUCAUGAGAGACACACAGAGAGAGAGGCAGAGACACAGGCAGAGGGAGGAGCAGGCUCCCUGCAGGGACGCGGGACUCCAUCCUGGAUCUCGGGAUCAUGCCCUGGGCUGAAGGCAGACGCUCAACCGCUGAGCCACCCUGGCGUCCCACCCUGGUUGACUUUAGACUCCCACGUGGGUACCUGUUUUUUCCAGGAAGAAAUCCUUAGAAUCACGAGAGGAAGAGUGCAGAGGGGAUAGCGAGCCCGGCCUCUUACCUUCACAGGUGACAUCUGAGGUCCCGAGGCAGGAGAUGGUUCCGGCGGCUCAGGACCCCCGUCGGAGGACAAGCGUUAGGUGGUCAUGAGACUUAAAUGGGGAGCGGGGGAUGGAGUUUAAGUGAAACAUUUGCACACUAAACAAACACACCCCGGUAAAACAGGUGGAAAGUUCCUUUUGCACAUGUGCAGGGUCUCCAGGGUGGGCUGCUUCUGAGUGUUUCUUUGCAAACGCUGAGAAACGAGGACUCGGGGAGGAGGCAGGUCACUGGGGGUCCAGCUGCAUGAGGGUGAGGCAUCUGCUGAGGGGAAUCGGCGCCUGCGGACACCGGCCCCAAGUGGCGGCAAGCGAGCUGCUCCCAGGUCAGUCUUGGAAAUCUG
This 962-nucleotide long non-coding RNA is filed under the name Vulpes vulpes (red fox). RNAcentral's name for it is "lncRNA (ENSVVUG00000000284.1)". Lineage: Eukaryota; Metazoa; Chordata; Mammalia; Carnivora; Canidae. The record is from RNAcentral.